AGUGAACGCUGGCGGUAGGCCUAACACAUGCAAGUCGAACGGCAGCACAGUAAGAGCUUGCUCUUACGGGUGGCGAGUGGCGGACGGGUGAGGAAUACAUCGGAAUCUACUUUUUCGUGGGGGAUAACGUAGGGAAACUUACGCUAAUACCGCAUACGACCUACGGGUGAAAGCAGGGGAUCUUCGGACCUUGCGCGAUUGAAUGAGCCGAUGUCGGAUUAGCUAGUUGGCGGGGUAAAGGCCCACCAAGGCGACGAUCCGUAGCUGGUCUGAGAGGAUGAUCAGCCACACUGGAACUUAGACACGGUCCAGACUCCUACGGGAGGCAGCAGUGGGGAAUAGUGGACAAUGGGCGCAAGCCUGGUCCAGCCAUACCGCGUGGGUGAAGAAGGCCUUCGGGUUGUAAAGCCCUUUUGUUGGGAAAGAAAAGCAGCAGGUUAAUACCCCGCUGUUCUGACGGUACCCAAAGAAUAAGCACCGGCUAACUUCGUG
This 492-nucleotide ribosomal RNA is filed under the name uncultured bacterium. RNAcentral's name for it is "partial 16S ribosomal RNA". It matches the Rfam family "Bacterial small subunit ribosomal RNA", at positions 29 to 507 of the family's 1533-position model. The record is from RNAcentral.